RNAcentral lists this non-coding RNA (31 nucleotides) under Homo sapiens (human). The record is from RNAcentral. Lineage: Eukaryota; Metazoa; Chordata; Mammalia; Primates; Hominidae.
UGGUGCAGAUGAAGGGUGCUCAGCAGAGCGU